Molecule: ribosomal RNA, 253 nt
Filed under: uncultured bacterium
Lineage: Bacteria
Description: partial 16S ribosomal RNA
Rfam family: Bacterial small subunit ribosomal RNA
Source: RNAcentral
UACGUAGGUUGCGAGCGUUAUCCGGAAUUAUUGGGCGUAAAGGGAGCGUAGGCGGAUAAUUAAGUGGGAUGUGAAAUACCAAAGCUCAACUUUGGGGCUGCAUUCCAAACUGAUUAUCUAGAGUGCAGGAGAGGAGAGUGGAAUUCCUAGUGUAGCGGUGAAAUGCGUAGAGAUUAGGAAGAACACCAGUGGCGAAGGCGACUCUCUGGACUGUAACUGACGCUGAGGCUCGAAAGCGUGGGGAGCAAACAGG